UACGGAGGGGGCUAGCGUUGUUCGGAAUUACUGGGCGUAAAGCGCACGUAGGCGGACUGUUAAGUCGGGGGUGAAAUCCUGGGGCUCAACCUCAGAAUUGCCUUCGAUACUGGCAGUCUCGAGUGCGGGAGAGGUGAGUGGAAUUCCCAGUGUAGAGGUGAAAUUCGUAGAUAUUGGGAAGAACACCAGUGGCGAAGGCGGCUCACUGGCCCGUAACUGACGCUGAGGUGCGAAAGCGUGGGGAGCAAACAGG
Molecule: ribosomal RNA, 253 nt
Filed under: uncultured bacterium
Lineage: Bacteria
Description: partial 16S ribosomal RNA
Rfam family: Bacterial small subunit ribosomal RNA
Source: RNAcentral